UACGUAGGGGGCUAGCGUUGUCCGGAAUCAUUGGGCGUAAAGCGCAUGUAGGCGGUCCGGUAAGUCCGCUGUGAAAGUCGGGGGCUCAACCCUCGGAUGCCGGUGGAUACUGUCGGGCUUGAGUACGGAAGAGGCGAGUGGAAUUCCUGGUGUAGCGGUGAAAUGCGCAGAUAUCAGGAGGAACACCAAUUGCGAAGGCAGCUCGCUGGGACGUUACUGACGCUGAGACGCGAAAGCGUGGGGAGCAAACAGG
Molecule: ribosomal RNA, 253 nt
Filed under: uncultured bacterium
Lineage: Bacteria
Description: partial 16S ribosomal RNA
Rfam family: Bacterial small subunit ribosomal RNA
Source: RNAcentral